This is a long non-coding RNA of Leptinotarsa decemlineata (Colorado potato beetle), 544 nucleotides long. RefSeq lists it as uncharacterized. The record is from RefSeq and is a predicted model, not a curated record. Lineage: Eukaryota; Metazoa; Arthropoda; Insecta; Coleoptera; Chrysomelidae.
GUCUCUAUAUUAACGAAACGCUCAUAAAUAGCCACUUAUUUGAAGGCAGCUGUCGAUAGAGUAUCAUAUCAAUCGUAGUUAUUGUUUAUUUCAAAGUUCAGAAUGAAAGGUGUUGCUGUAUUUUUUGUAGUAAUGGCCGUAGUUCACUCUAUAUUAGCUGGCCAUCUCGGAAUCCACGAUGAACAAGGCGCUAAAAAUAUGGCGGAUAUGGCCUGUAAAAAUUGUCUUCCUUUGGUACCGGAUCUAUGCCCAUUCAUAAUGUUCUGUGAUUCCUAUUGCCAAAAAUACCAGAAUGCUACUUUUGGAGUCUGUGGAAGUGAUUGCUGUGGAUGUAUAACUGUUUAAACAACCCCGCCAGAAACAUUUUCCACCUGAAGAACAUGAUAAAUUACCAGAAUUGAAUUUAUUAAAUCAUUAUAUAGCUAUACUUGUGACAAAAAAUACUUUUUUGAUAUUAUUAGUAUUGUUUAAUGCGCCUGAGAUACAAUUUGUGUACUCAAUGAAAAGAAUUAAGGUAUUAAUUAUAAUGUUUCUGAAGUAAAAA